Molecule: ribosomal RNA, 145 nt
Filed under: Aspergillus nomiae NRRL 13137
Lineage: Eukaryota; Fungi; Ascomycota; Eurotiomycetes; Eurotiales; Aspergillaceae
Description: Aspergillus nomius NRRL 13137 5.8S ribosomal RNA
Rfam family: 5.8S ribosomal RNA
About the family: 5.8S ribosomal RNA (5.8S rRNA) is a component of the large subunit of the eukaryotic ribosome. It is transcribed by RNA polymerase I as part of the 45S precursor that also contains 18S and 28S rRNA.
Source: Rfam by way of RNAcentral
AACUUUCAACAAUGGAUUUCUCGGUCCCGGCAUCGAUAAAGAGCGUAGAGGAAUGCGAUAACUAGUCCAUAAACUAAAUGUAUGAGGACUUCACUUCUGGGAAGUUGACGGUAGGUUAUCUUUGUAUACUCCGUACUUAGAGAUG